AGAGUUUGAUCAUGGCUCAGAAUCAACGCUGGCGGCGCGCUUAACACAUGCAAGUCGAGCGAGAAAGUCCCCUUCGGGGGAUGAGUAAAGCGGCGGACGGGUGAGUAACACGUGGGUUACCUGCCCUUGAGUGGGGAAUAACCUCGGGAAACUGGGGCUAAUACCGCAUACGAUCCUUCGGGAUGAAAGCCUUCGGGCGCUCAAGGAGGGGCCCGCGGCCGAUUAGCUAGUUGGUAGGGUAAUGGCCUACCAAGGCGUCGAUCGGUAGCCGGCCUGAGAGGGCACACGGCCACACUGGCACUGAGACACGGGCCAGACUCCUACGGGAGGCAGCAGUGGGGAAUCUUGGACAAUGGGGGAAACCCUGAUCCAGCGACGCCGCGUGACCGAUGACGCCCUUCGGGGUGUAAAGGUCUUUCGGCGGGGACAAUAAUGAUGGUACCCGCAGAAGAAG
Molecule: ribosomal RNA, 454 nt
Filed under: uncultured Acidobacteriaceae bacterium
Lineage: Bacteria; Pseudomonadati; Acidobacteriota; Terriglobia; Terriglobales; Acidobacteriaceae
Description: bacterial SSU rRNA
Rfam family: Bacterial small subunit ribosomal RNA
Source: RNAcentral